Long non-coding RNA from Diachasma alloeum, 373 nucleotides. RefSeq lists it as uncharacterized. The record is from RefSeq and is a predicted model, not a curated record. NCBI's taxonomy places the organism in Eukaryota, Metazoa, Arthropoda, Insecta, Hymenoptera, Braconidae. The transcript is spliced from 3 exons.
AGAUGAGACGAUGAAGGAAAAAAUAACAAAUUAUAUUUUGCAAAAACAAAAACAUUGGAAAAAAAAACAAAUAUAAAAUGAACCGCUAUUUCGGAGCAGAAAAAAAAGGUUCGACGAGACAGAAUCUACUGUUUGUUUGAAAGACUGAGGAUGAAUUUAAUCCAAUAGUGGACUCAAUUUCAAUGCGAUAAAUAAAUCGAGGUAUGGAGCCGAGUAAGUCGAAUAGGAAAUUAAAUCAGGAUAGAUCGUGGAUUGAUUCUACUUCGAUCAUCAGCUACUAUCAACUUGUCAUAUUUAAAAUUAAAUUAUACAAGUGUAUAAAACAAAUUGUAGGAAAGUAACUGUAUUUGAUUAAAACUGAUUAGAGAUUCAA